CCUACGGGUGGCUGCAGUGGGGAAUAUUGCUCAAUGGGCGCAAGCCUGAACCAGCCACGUCGCGUGGAGGAUGACUGCCCUACGGGUUGUAAACUUCUUUUAUAAAGGAGUAAAGUGAGGCACGUGUGCCUUUUUGUAUGUACUUUAUUAAUAAGGAUCGGCUAACUCCGUGCCAGCAGCCGCGGUAAUACGGAGGAUCCGUGCGUUAUCCGGAUUUAUUGGGUGUAAAGGGAGCGUAGAUGGGUCGUUAAGUCUGUUGUGAAAGUUUGCGGCUCAACCGUAAAAUUGCAAUUGAUACUGGCAGGCUUGAGUACAGGUGAGGUAGGCGGAAUUCGUGGUGUAGCGGUGAAAUGCUUAGAUAUAACGAAGAACUCCGAUGGCGAAGGCAGCUUACUAAACUGCCACUGACACUGAUGCUCGAAAGUGUGGGUAUCAAACAGGAUUAGAUACCCGGGUAGUC
This 460-nucleotide ribosomal RNA is filed under the name uncultured bacterium. RNAcentral describes it as "partial 16S ribosomal RNA". It matches the Rfam family "Bacterial small subunit ribosomal RNA", at positions 338 to 795 of the family's 1533-position model. The record is from RNAcentral.